AUAGUGCAGAAGGUCAAGGACUCAGAUCUUAUCAAGCUUGUGGGAGAUCAGUGGGUUCGCAAACGCCGGGGCCAGAUUCGCCAAUAUGCUACAGCUUAUCUUAGGGCUGCUUGGACUAAGGCCUUGUUUUGUUUGAAGGAUGAAGGGAUUGGUGGGAGUUCCAGCAAUGCCUCCAAAGUUGCUUUGAAGGACAGGUUCAAGAAUUUCAAUGC
This 212-nucleotide unclassified non-coding RNA is filed under the name Hevea brasiliensis (rubber tree). The record is from RNAcentral. Lineage: Eukaryota; Viridiplantae; Streptophyta; Magnoliopsida; Malpighiales; Euphorbiaceae.